UGAGCAAGCCAGGCGGUCGCGCGGCACUAUGAUGUGCCGUGAGGAAAGUCCGGGCUCCAUAGGGCAAGGGUGCCGGAUAACGUCCGGCGAAGGCGACUUCAGGGAAAGUGCAACAGAAACAUACCGCCGAAACAGGGGCUUCCAGCCUGCUGUGGCAAGGUUGAAAUGGCGAGGUAAGAGCUCACCGGGCUGCGUGGAGACAUGCAGCCCGUGUAAACCCCACCCGGAGCAAGACCAGAACAGGGCGCGAAAGGCAGUUGCCCGCUGCCGCCCGGAAGGUAGGUCGCACGAGGCCUGCGGUAACGCAGGUCCCAGAUAGAUGAUCGUCAGAUACAGAACCCGGCUUAUGGCUUGCUCAAAUU
RNAcentral lists this RNase P RNA (362 nucleotides) under Eubacteriales Family XIII. Incertae Sedis bacterium. Its description in RNAcentral is "RNase P RNA component class A". It matches the Rfam family "Bacterial RNase P class A". From Rfam's summary of the family: Ribonuclease P (RNase P) is a ubiquitous endoribonuclease, found in archaea, bacteria and eukarya as well as chloroplasts and mitochondria. Its best characterised activity is the generation of mature 5'-ends of tRNAs by cleaving the 5'-leader elements of precursor-tRNAs. Lineage: Bacteria; Bacillati; Bacillota; Clostridia; Peptostreptococcales; Anaerovoracaceae. The record is from RNAcentral.